CCUACGGGUGGCAGCAGUGGGGAAUAUUGGACAAUGGGGGGAACCCUGAUCCAGCCAUGCCGCGUGUGUGAAGAAGGCCCUCGGGUUGUAAAGCACUUUCAGUGAGGAAGAACGCCUGGUGGUUAAUACCCAUCAGGAAAGACAUCACUCACAGAAGAAGCACCGGCUAACUCCGUGCCAGCAGCCGCGGUAAUACGGAGGGUGCGAGCGUUAAUCGGAAUUACUGGGCGUAAAGCGCGCGUAGGUGGCUUGAUAAGCCGGUUGUGAAAGCCCCGGGCUCAACCUGGGAACGGCAUCCGGAACUGUCAAGCUAGAGUGCAGGAGAGGAAGGUAGAAUUCCCGGUGUAGCAGUGAAAUGCGUAGAGAUCGGGAGGAAUACCAGUGGCGAAGGCGGCCUUCUGGACUGACACUGACACUGAGGUGCGAAAGCGUGGGUAGCAAACAGGAUUAGAUACCCUAGUAGUC
Molecule: ribosomal RNA, 465 nt
Filed under: Vreelandella stevensii
Lineage: Bacteria; Pseudomonadati; Pseudomonadota; Gammaproteobacteria; Oceanospirillales; Halomonadaceae
Description: partial 16S ribosomal RNA
Rfam family: Bacterial small subunit ribosomal RNA
Source: RNAcentral